AUUGAACGCUGGCGGCAUGCCUUACACAUGCAAGUCGAACGGCAGCACGGACUUCGGUCUGGUGGCGAGUGGCGAACGGGUGAGUAAUGUAUCGGAACGUACCUUUCAGUGGGGGAUAACGUAGCGAAAGUUACGCUAAUACCGCAUAUUCUGUGGGCAGGAAAGCAGGGGAUCGAAAGACCUUGCGCUGAUUGAGCGGCCGAUAUCAGAUUAGCUAGUUGGUGGGGUAAAGGCCUACCAAGGCGACGAUCUGUAGCGGGUCUGAGAGGAUGAUCCGCCACACUGGAACUGAGACACGGUCCAGACUCCUACGGGAGGCAGCAGUGGGGAAUUUUGGACAAAGGGGGCAACCCUGAUCCAGCCAUGCCGCGUGAGUGAAGAAGGCCUUCGGGUUGUAAAGCUCUUUCGGCCGGGAAGAAAUCGCAUAGGCUAAUACCCUGUGUGGAUGACGGUACCGGAAUAAGAAGCACCGGCUAACUACGUG
This 484-nucleotide ribosomal RNA is filed under the name uncultured bacterium. RNAcentral's name for it is "partial 16S ribosomal RNA". It matches the Rfam family "Bacterial small subunit ribosomal RNA", at positions 30 to 507 of the family's 1533-position model. The record is from RNAcentral.